RNAcentral lists this ribosomal RNA (464 nucleotides) under uncultured bacterium. Its description in RNAcentral is "bacterial SSU rRNA". It matches the Rfam family "Bacterial small subunit ribosomal RNA", at positions 917 to 1382 of the family's 1533-position model. The record is from RNAcentral.
GGGCCCGCACAAGCGGUGGAGCAUGUGGUUCAAUUCGACGCAACGCGAAGAACCUUACCCAGGCUUGAACAGCGAGUGACCAACUCCGAAAGGGGUCUUCCGCAAGGACACUCGUAGAGGUGCUGCAUGGCUGUCGUCAGCUCGUGUCGUGAGAUGUUGGGUUAAGUCCCGCAACGAGCGCAACCCUUGUCUGCUGUUGCCAUCAGGUAAUGCUGGGCACUCUGCAGAGACUGCCGGUGAUAAACCGGAGGAAGGUGGGGAUGACGUCAAGUCAGCAUGGCCUUUAUGUCUGGGGCUACACACGUGCUACAAUGGCCGGUACAAACCGUCGCAAAACCGUAAGGUCGAGCUAAUCGGAGAAAACCGGUCUCAGUUCGGAUAGCAGGCUGCAACUCGCCUGCUUGAAGUUGGAAUCGCUAGUAAUCGCGGAUCAGCACGCCGCGGUGAAUACGUUCCCGGGCCUU